CGAGCGCACCUUCGGGUGAGCGGCGGACGGGUUAGUAACGCGUGGGAACAUACCCCUUUCUACGGAAUAGCCUCGGGAAACUGAGAGUAAUACCGUAUACGCCCUUCGGGGGAAAGAUUUAUCGGUGAGGGAUUGGCCCGCGUUAGAUUAGAUAGUUGGUGGGGUAAUGGCCUACCAAGUCUACGAUCUAUAGCUGGUUUUAGAGGACGAUCAGCAACACUGGGACUGAGACACGGCCCAG
This 241-nucleotide ribosomal RNA is filed under the name uncultured bacterium. RNAcentral's name for it is "partial 16S ribosomal RNA". It matches the Rfam family "Bacterial small subunit ribosomal RNA", at positions 63 to 334 of the family's 1533-position model. The record is from RNAcentral.